ACACUCACUCUCAUGUCGUUUUAUUUUCCAUAAAUAGUUCACCUUCUUCUUUCUAGUUCUAAAGUAAGAGUUGUGCUAGGGCAGCUAAGAAACCCUCUUCAGUGCUACCGGAAACUUGUUUUUCUUCAUCUCCUUAAGUAGUUGUCGUGUCGUGGUGCUCUACUGUUGGAGCUCGUUUUGCUGAGUUAAUCUCUGUCCAGAUGUGUCAACAAUGAUGAUAGUACUACCACCGAAGUUGAUCACCAUGGUGAUAUUGUGGCCUUCACUUUUCAAGACUCGGUGCUAGACAAGAUUUCUCAUUUUGUGUUAUGGUUGAUGGAUGUUGAGAGGAAGCCUAUUUGAUGGUGGCAAAAUA
Vigna unguiculata (cowpea) is the source of this 355-nucleotide long non-coding RNA. The record is from RefSeq and is a predicted model, not a curated record. Lineage: Eukaryota; Viridiplantae; Streptophyta; Magnoliopsida; Fabales; Fabaceae.